RNAcentral lists this ribosomal RNA (385 nucleotides) under uncultured bacterium. RNAcentral's name for it is "bacterial SSU rRNA". It matches the Rfam family "Bacterial small subunit ribosomal RNA", at positions 28 to 416 of the family's 1533-position model. The record is from RNAcentral.
GACGAACGCUGGCGGCGUGCUUAACACAUGCAAGUCGAGCGGUAAGGCCCUUUCGGGGUACGACGAGCGGCGAACGGGUGAGUAACACGUGGGUGACCUGCCCUCAGCUCUGGGAUAAGCCUGGGAAACCGGGUCUAAUACUGGAUAUGACUCCAUGACGCAUGUUGUGGGGUGGAAAGCCUUGUGCGGCUGAGGAUGGGCCCGCGGCCUAUCAGCUUGUUGGUGGGGUGANGGCCUACCAAGGCGACGACGGUAGCCGGCCUGAGAGGCGACCGGCCACACUGGGACUGAGACACGGCCCAGACUCCUACGGGAGGCAGCAGUGGGGAAUCUUGCGCAAUGGGCGAAAGCCUGACGCAGCGACGCCGCGUGAGGGAUGACGGCC